Molecule: ribosomal RNA, 126 nt
Organism: Lachnobacterium bovis DSM 14045
Lineage: Bacteria; Bacillati; Bacillota; Clostridia; Lachnospirales; Lachnospiraceae
Rfam family: Bacterial small subunit ribosomal RNA
Source: Rfam
UAAAAUGAGAGUUUGAUCCUGGCUCAGGAUGAACGCUGGCGGCGUGCUUAACACAUGCAAGUCGAACGAAGCGCAUUGUUUGAAUUCUUCGGAAGGAAGAUAAUGUGACUGAGUGGCGGACGGGUG